Molecule: long non-coding RNA, 1125 nt
Filed under: Manacus vitellinus (golden-collared manakin)
Lineage: Eukaryota; Metazoa; Chordata; Aves; Passeriformes; Pipridae
Description: lncRNA (ENSMVIG00005015504.1)
Source: RNAcentral
AUGUUCCAUCCCAGCUCCCCAGGAGACAGGGAAGGGAACAUCCUGCAUCCCGGAGCCCACGCUGUGACCCAAAUAUCCCACUGUUGUUCCGAGUGCCUUAAAUCCAUCCAGAGCCCAGCAAAGGUAUUUCUGUUCCCUGUGCUCUUCCUCUUACACCUCUCAGCUGCUCAUCCCUGUAUCCCAGUCAGUCCAUCCCUGUAUCCCUGUCAGUCCAUCCCUCUAUUCCAGUCAGUCCGUCCCUGUAUCCCAGUCAGUCCCUCCCUGUAUCCCAGUCAGUCCUUCCCUGUAUCCCAGUCAGUCCAUCCCUGUCAGUCCAUCCCUGUAUCCCAGUCAGUCCAUCCCUCUAUCCCUGUCAGUCCAUCCCUGUAUCCCAGUCAGUCCAUCCUUCUAUCCCAAUCAGUCCAUCCCUGUAUCCCAGUCAGUCCAUCCCUGUAUCCCAGUCAGUCCAUCCCUGUAUCCCACUCAGUCCAUCCCUGUAUCCCAGUCAGUCCAUCCCUGUAUCCCACUCAGUCCAUCCCUGUAUCCCACUCAGUCCAUCCCUGUAUCCCAGUCAGUCCAUCCCUGUAUCCCACUCAGUCCAUCCCUGUAUCCCACUCAGUCCAUCCCUGUAUCCCAGUCAGUCCAUCCCUCUAUUCCAGUCAGUCCAUCCCUGUAUCCCACUCAGUCCAUCCCUGUAUCCCAGUCAGUCCAUCCCUGUAUCCCUGUCCAUCCAUCCCUCUAUUCCAGUCAGUCCAUCCCUCUAUCCCAAUCAGUCCAUCCCUCUAUUCCAGUCAGUCCAUCCCUGUAUCCCAGUCAGUCCAUCCCUGUAUCCCAGUCAGUCCAUCCCUGGUGUCAUCCCAGAGCCCCGGCUGCAAUUCCAGCUCCCAGUGGAGCCAGACAGGACUUGGUCACUGGGAGCUGCCCCAGGGACCCCCGAGGAUUCAGAAGGACCCCCAGGGCCCCUUCCCCUCCCUUGCUGGACUUGCCAUGGAUUUGGGAUGCAGGGAUAAUGUGGUGUCUGUGUCCUGCCAUCAGCUCCAGAUGGAUCCCAGCUCCAGCCUGGGCGUGGGAUCUGUCCGAGCGGGAGAGAAACUGGGCUUAAAAGCACCAAAAAAAUGGAUUAUCCCUCUUUUUCUGCUUGAAUAG